CGCAAAAUCACACGCAUCCCCUCACCCACGGCGGUGUCUUGUCGGGUGUGUUAUCUCGAGCUUGAGGGUUUGGGGCGGGUAUAGUCAGGUGCGCUCAAAACCUUCGACGACAUGUGCAAGGCUGCUUCUUUGUCGGUUACGGAGUCAUUUAGGGCAUUACACGCGGCGUCUGGCGUCUUUUUGUUAUCCUGGUCUGCGCGGGUGCGAGUCCAGACAUACACACGCAUACACACACACACACACAAAAUUAUCCUUCCAUGAAUCGUGACCCGCAGAAUGCGCUGCUGCUGGAGCAAACGGCGCAGAAGGUAAAGCGCCUACUUCUCCAGCGCAGCCCGUCCGCGGUGAACGGCAUUCGAAGCUUUAGCCGGUCUCUCGGGAUCGCCGACGACCUCGGCAGCACGCAGGUGACCGCAGAGGAGCUGCAGCGUGCGCUUCAAGAGAACAAUGUUUCGCUAGAGGAGCACGAGAUUCAAAACAUCUUUACCGUGCUGGAUCGCAAUGGUAAAGGCACGAUUGAUCCCACAGACUUCAUUGCUGUCAUGUGCAACAACCUCAGUCCGCUGCGCAGAGUGUGGCUGCAGCGUGUGUGGCGAAUGUUUAUCAAGGACCCGGACGAUGGUUCGGUGCAGGUGUGCGAGCUGCAGCGGCAGUUCAUAGCGGAGGGUCACCCAGCGGUCGUGCGCCACGAGACGACGGCAGCGGAGGUGCGCAAGGACUUUGAAUCGGCUUUCAACGAAAGCACCAAUCCAGAUGGAAAGAUAAGCGCUCAGGAGUUUGCGGAGUACUACGCUGGUGUCUCAGCCUCCUGCAGGAACGAUGAAUCCUUCGUGGCCCUACUCCGUGGUGUGUGGCCGCUGCCCGGCGUUUCGCGCGACUUCUCCAUCUCCCUUGCGAAGGGCGAGGCACAGUACCAAGGUUCCUACCACACAGAGCAGAGUUUAGCAGAAAAAAAGGCCGUCGCCAGCCGCGAGGCGGCGCGAUCGGCGUUGAUGAGCAUGAUUCGUUGUGAUCACGCACCGGCCGUCCUUAGUAGUGGCGCGGCAGCACGAGCAUUGUGCCUCUCUCUAGCGCAAGCAGACGAGGCGGGGUCGGGUUUCGUGAGUGAGGCUGUGUUUGUGGGUGCUCUGCGGACGCACCGUCUCUACGUGCCGAACACAUCCGUUUUGGAAUGCCUAGACACCAACGGGGAUGGCUCUGUCGACAUCAAGUACUACGAGGAACUGCUGCUGCCUUCGCUGUCUGCCGCACGUCUCAUGCUACUGGCACGGCUGUGGUCGCGCUGCUUCGAGAACAAAGACGGGGCCUACCGCGUGCCAGUGCAAGAUCUGCACCGCAAAUACCACGCCUCGAGCCCGGCAGACAAAGACGCCUUCCUUACCGCCUGGGAUGUUCGAACGGCCGUGGGUGGCAAGGUUGAGCUGGAGGAGCUUGUUCAGUGGUACGUGCCGCAGAGUGCGGCGGUGCAGCGCGACAAAGAUUUUGAGGAGCUCCUGCACCGGCAGUGGGGAAAGUACGACGAGUAGGAGACGUGCGCGCUGUGUGCAAGGUGGGUCGCAUGUGGCAUUUGUAGGCGCGUUUUGCUUCGCGCCGUCGUUGCUGCAGUUGUUGUUGCCUCGUAUGUAAAGCACGAAGUGGCCGCACUCCGCUUGCAACCGACUCUACUCUUCCUCGUGCUUACACCAUCGCUGCUUUCUGCGCGCCAUGCCGUGCGCAGUUGUGGAUGCGUUCUUUUAUCCUUUUUUUUUGUUUCGUCUGUGAUUGAUCUCAUGUACAGUUUCCGUCAUAGGUCGCGCGCGGCGAUGAGGGAGGGGGAAAAGUGCCAAAGGAGGAGAGACAAGGUGCGUUUGCUGCGCAUGACGGACACGCCAGUGGCCCUUCCUCUGUGCCUCGUGCUUGUGCUCUUCUCCAUCCUGUGCGUGAGUGAAUUUAUCCUUCCUUAGAGAGCAUAUGCCCCAUCUCAGCUGGUU
RNAcentral lists this unclassified non-coding RNA (1970 nucleotides) under Leishmania donovani. RNAcentral describes it as "gene:LdHU3.34.4780(CDS-product:EF-hand_domain_pai r/EF-hand_domain/EF_hand_putative)". Lineage: Eukaryota; Euglenozoa; Kinetoplastea; Trypanosomatida; Trypanosomatidae. The record is from RNAcentral.